Salvia splendens (bonfire salvia) is the source of this 280-nucleotide long non-coding RNA. RefSeq lists it as uncharacterized. The transcript is spliced from 2 exons. The record is from RefSeq and is a predicted model, not a curated record. Lineage: Eukaryota; Viridiplantae; Streptophyta; Magnoliopsida; Lamiales; Lamiaceae.
GGACGGCGGCGCCGGAACCAUUCUCGAGGUCGUUUUCCAUCCAGGGAUGGGAGGGGGAAUGAAGUCGUUCAAGGAGAAAGUCAUGGUGGUGGAUAACGAGAAGCGUGUGAAGGAGGCAGAGGUUGUGGAAGGUGGAUUUCUAGAUCUAGGGUUCACGCUGUAUCGUAUGAGAUUCAAUGUGAUAGAGGUGGAGGGAAACGAGAAGCAAUGUAUAACUCGAUCUACGAUCGAGUACGAGCUCAAAGAAGAAGCUGCAGCGAAUGUUGAAAUCGCUUCCAUU